Molecule: long non-coding RNA, 430 nt
Organism: Papaver somniferum (opium poppy)
Lineage: Eukaryota; Viridiplantae; Streptophyta; Magnoliopsida; Ranunculales; Papaveraceae
Exons: 3
Source: RefSeq, a predicted model, not a curated record
CUCUCUCAGAGAAGGAGAAGAACUCCAUUAGAGUUACAAGGAAGAUUUUUAUUCUGAAUCUUCUCUUAUCCAUUAGACUUCAACUCCACGAACACCAGUUACACUUACACCACCUCUAGAUCGAGAAGAAGAAGGAGAAAUUGUUAACCAAGGGGUUAUAUCACGCCAAGGAGAAGACUAAGGGAAAGGAUUCAAGGAACCAUCCACCUCAGAAAUUGUUAAUCAAGGAGUUCCACUGGUUCUAUCAUAGCCACCACCAGUGCUGCCAUGGAGUUGGAAUAGCCGAAUAGUCAUCUUUUCUUUGCAAUGUCCUUCUUUUCUUCAUUCAAAUUACUUAAGAGUCUUAAGACUAUUAUCUGUAAUUGUGUAUGUCUAUGUGUUGCAGCUACUUUCUACUUGCUAUGUAUUUAGCUUUGGAUUGUUAAUAUUA